Non-coding RNA from Chiloscyllium plagiosum (whitespotted bambooshark), 764 nucleotides. Lineage: Eukaryota; Metazoa; Chordata; Chondrichthyes; Orectolobiformes; Hemiscylliidae. The record is from RefSeq and is a predicted model, not a curated record.
GUGAUUCUGAUCACUAGCUGACAACAAUGUGCAACCAGCCCAGCUUCUAUGGGGAACAGUCUUCAAUACAAAUGUCCCAACAUUGAAGCUGAAUUACAAUGGAUCAUUCCUCAAGAAAGGAUGAAUUUUUGCUCUGAAGAAGGAAUCCCAUCAUUGGGAAAAUUUCUGCUCCUGCCGGGUCUUUUGAAAAACAGUCUUAAGGCCAAAUCAUGUUGACAAAGCAGCACCCUGGCCCACAGUGGGAAACUUUUGGCCUGCUUAUCUCUGAGUCCAAUAAAAAUUCAUCAGAAACAAGAGAUUACCUUUAUAGACAGAAGACACUUGAUCUCAGAAGAUAAAACCCAGCAGAUGUAAUGAGCUCACUUGUAGCUCACAGCAUAUAACGAGAACACGGCUUUAACCUUUAAACCAUUUUUUCUGUGGACCAGACAUCCAUUUGCAAUUCCUUUAUUAGAUCUGGUUACAGCCUCAAUAAAUGAGAAUGACCAAUUUCGUAACAAUAUGCAGCAGAUGUCUCAACAAUUAUACCCGAUCGGUUCGAUACAAAACUAAAUAUAGAAAGAAGUGAGGAUUAGUGAUAGGCCAGAAAAUUUUUUUUUUUUUAGGAAUUAACAGUGGAUGAGUAAAAAAGCUAAUAUAAAGGGACUAAAAAUAAUGAAAGUAAAUUAAUAAGAAAUAUAAAACCAAACAGCAAUAGUUUGCAUGGGCAUAUAAAAAGACAGCAGCAAAAAUGAGGGUGUGACCCCUGGGGGAUGAAACUGGAG